GCGGAGGUUGUGGCUGCACCGUGGUCCUGGGCUUGGUCCUGGGCUUGAUGCGUCUGUUUGUCCGUCCGUCCGUCCGUCCCGCCAUGGCUGCGCCGGCGCCCUCUCCGUGGACCCUUUCGCUGCUGCUGUUGUUGCUACUGCCGUCUCCGGGUGCCAAUACUGCUGCUCUGACGUGCUGAAGAAAAUCCAGUGGAAUGAGGAAAUGUGCCCUGAGCCAGAGUCCAGCAGAUUUUCCGCCCACCCGGAGACACCAGAACAGCUGGGUUCAGCGCUGAAGUAUCAGUCCAGUCUUGACAGUGACAACA
Molecule: long non-coding RNA, 305 nt
Filed under: Rattus norvegicus (Norway rat)
Lineage: Eukaryota; Metazoa; Chordata; Mammalia; Rodentia; Muridae
Description: long non-coding RNA NONRATT028063
Source: RNAcentral